UGCGUAACGCGUAUGCAACCUACCUUUUACAGGGGAAUAGCCUUUAGAAAUGAAGAUUAAUGCCCCAUAGUAUUGUAGACUGGCAUCAGUUUACAAUUAAAGAUUUAUCGGUAAAAGAUGGCUAUGCGUCCUAUUAGUUAGUUGGUAAGGUAACGGCUUACCAAGACAUCGAUAGGUAGGGGUCCUGAGAGGGAGAUCCCCCACACUGGUACUGAGACACGGACCAGACUCC
This 232-nucleotide ribosomal RNA is filed under the name uncultured bacterium. RNAcentral describes it as "partial 16S ribosomal RNA". It matches the Rfam family "Bacterial small subunit ribosomal RNA", at positions 107 to 339 of the family's 1533-position model. The record is from RNAcentral.